RNAcentral lists this ribosomal RNA (249 nucleotides) under uncultured Actinomycetales bacterium. RNAcentral describes it as "partial 16S ribosomal RNA". It matches the Rfam family "Bacterial small subunit ribosomal RNA", at positions 84 to 334 of the family's 1533-position model. The record is from RNAcentral. Lineage: Bacteria; Bacillati; Actinomycetota; Actinomycetes; Actinomycetales.
GGGGUGCUCGAGUGGCGAACGGGUGAGUAACACGUGAGUAACCUGCCCUUGACUUUGGUAUAACUUCAGGAAACUGGGGCUAAUACCGGAUAGGAGCUCCUGCUGCAUGGUGGGGGUUGGAAAGUUUCGGCGGUUGGGGAUGGACUCGCGGCUUAUCAGCUUGUUGGUGGGGUAGUGGCUUACCAAGGCUUUGACGGGUAGCCGGCCUGAGAGGGUGACCGGCCACAUUGGGACUGAGAUACGGCCCAG